AUUGUUUUGUAGUUCAUAAGGGUGCUGAUUGGGUGUUCACACAUGUGUAAGAUAUGCCACCCUCAAACCUUGUUAUGAUGUCGGCACACCACCUGACUGAUG
Saimiri boliviensis boliviensis (Bolivian squirrel monkey) is the source of this 102-nucleotide small nucleolar RNA. RefSeq annotates it as small nucleolar RNA U13. The record is from RefSeq and is a predicted model, not a curated record. Lineage: Eukaryota; Metazoa; Chordata; Mammalia; Primates; Cebidae.